This 283-nucleotide ribosomal RNA is filed under the name uncultured bacterium. RNAcentral describes it as "partial 16S ribosomal RNA". It matches the Rfam family "Bacterial small subunit ribosomal RNA", at positions 333 to 615 of the family's 1533-position model. The record is from RNAcentral.
UGACCUACGGGGGGCAGCAGUGAGGAAUAUUGGUCAAUGGCCGAGAGGCUGAACCAGCCAAGUCGCGUGAGGGAAGACGGCCCUACGGGUUGUAAACCUCUUUUGUCGGGGAGCAAAGCGAGUCACGUGUGACUCAUUGAGAGUACCCGAAGAAAAAGCAUCGGCUAACUCCGUGCCAGCAGCCGCGGUAAUACGGAGGAUCCGAGCGUUAUCCGGAUUUAUUGGGUUUAAAGGGAGCGUAGAUGGGUUGUUAAGUCAGUUGUGAAAGUUUGCGGCUCAACCG